RNAcentral lists this microRNA precursor (133 nucleotides) under Gossypium arboreum. RNAcentral's name for it is "MIR7502 microRNA precursor family". It matches the Rfam family "MIR7502 microRNA precursor family". The record is from Rfam by way of RNAcentral. Lineage: Eukaryota; Viridiplantae; Streptophyta; Magnoliopsida; Malvales; Malvaceae.
UAUUAAAAUUUCUAUCUAUUUGUAUCAUUAAAAAUUGUAUGGCUACUGGAAUAAUCAAAUACAUGUCACGUAUGCCUCAUACUAAUGUAUAAAGACCAAUUUUUAAUAACAAAAAUUAAUGAAAUCUUUAAUA